This 253-nucleotide ribosomal RNA is filed under the name uncultured bacterium. RNAcentral describes it as "partial 16S ribosomal RNA". It matches the Rfam family "Bacterial small subunit ribosomal RNA", at positions 525 to 776 of the family's 1533-position model. The record is from RNAcentral.
ACAGAGGAUGCAAGCGUUAUCCGGAUUUAUUGGGCGUAAAGUGUCUGUAGGUGGCUUUUCAAGUCCGUCGUCAAAUCCCAGGGCUCAACCCUGGACAGGCGGUGGAAACUGACAAACUAGAGGACGGUAGAGGCAGAGGGAAUUUCCGGUGGAGCGGUGAAAUGCGUUGAGAUCGGGAAGAACACCAGCAGGCGAAAGCGCUCUGCUGGGCCGUCACUGACACUCAGAGACGAAAGCUAGGGGAGCGAAUGGG